This 266-nucleotide ribosomal RNA is filed under the name uncultured bacterium. RNAcentral describes it as "partial 16S ribosomal RNA". It matches the Rfam family "Bacterial small subunit ribosomal RNA", at positions 92 to 354 of the family's 1533-position model. The record is from RNAcentral.
CGACCGGCGCACGGGUGAGUAACACGUAUGCAACCUGGCCGUCACAGGUGGAUAACCGGAAGAAACUCCGACUAAUACAGCAUAACACUCCUGAGGGACAUCCUUCGGGAGUCAAAGGAGGCAACUCCGGUGACGGAUGGGCAUGCGGCGCAUUAGGUAGUUGGUAGGGUAACGGCCUACCAAGCCGACGAUGCGUAGGGGUUCUGAGAGGAAGGUCCCCCACAUUGGAACUGAGACACGGUCCAAACUCCUACGGAAGGCAGCAG